AGAAGGCCUCGGUUGUAAGACUCUUUCGGUCUGGGAAGAAAUACGCAUCUCCUAAUACGGGGUGUGGAUGACGGUACCAGCAUAAGAAGCACCGGCUAACUACGUGCCAGCAGCCGCGGUAAUACGUAGGGUGCGAGCGUUAAUCGGAAUUACUGGGCGUAAAGCGUGCGCAGGCGGUUUUCGUAAGACAGAGGUGAAAUCCCCGGGCUCAACCUGGGGAACUGCCUUUUGUGACUGCGAGGCUAGAGUAUGGCAGAGGGGGGUGGAAUUCCACGUGUAGCAGUGAAAUGCGUAGAGAUGUGGAGGAACACCGAUGGCGAAGGCAGCCCCCUGGGCCAAUACUGACGCUCAUGCACGAAAGCGUGGGGAGCAAACAGGAUUAGAUACCCCUGGUAGUCCACGCCCUAAACGAUGUCAACUAGGUGUUGGGAGGGUUAAACCUUUUAGUACCGUAGCUAACGCGUGAAGUUGACCGCCUGGGGAGUACGGCCGCAAGGUUAAAACUCAAAGGAAUUGACGGGG
RNAcentral lists this ribosomal RNA (522 nucleotides) under uncultured bacterium. Its description in RNAcentral is "bacterial SSU rRNA". It matches the Rfam family "Bacterial small subunit ribosomal RNA", at positions 409 to 918 of the family's 1533-position model. The record is from RNAcentral.